UCUCAUUCCAUACAUCGUCUG
This 21-nucleotide microRNA is filed under the name Glycine max (soybean). RNAcentral describes it as "gma-miR1507b". RNAcentral also lists the same sequence under 1 other name. Lineage: Eukaryota; Viridiplantae; Streptophyta; Magnoliopsida; Fabales; Fabaceae. The record is from miRBase by way of RNAcentral.